This 953-nucleotide long non-coding RNA is filed under the name Cricetulus griseus (Chinese hamster). RNAcentral describes it as "lncRNA (ENSCGRG00015041277.1)". The record is from RNAcentral. Lineage: Eukaryota; Metazoa; Chordata; Mammalia; Rodentia; Cricetidae.
AUGAGAAAACUGUGGCUCCAAUUCUGCCCGUGAGAGGGCCUCUGCUCAGUCUCAGGAGGAACCAAGAAAGGCCUGCCAAUACCGUGUUGGAGAUUGAGGUUUGGCAACCCCAGGAGCCGCCCCCGUGGGUGGGCCCUGCCAUGAGCUGGGAUCCCAAUGUCAGGGUCCCUGAGGGGCUCACUGGAUACCCCAGGCUCUCGGACAAAAGGGGAGCGAGGAACCUGCGACUUCCAGGAAUGUCACAGGAUACACCCCAAAGUCGGCCAGGAGUUCGCAGGCUGCUCUGAAUGAAGGUUAAGUGGGAGCCUGAGGAGGAAGCUGUGUCAGAGGAAAGCCUGCAUGUAUUCAAGCAUGAAGCGUUUUAUAUCUAUCGGAGCCCAGAUGCAUGCUAGGAGCCAGAGCCCAGCAGCCACCCAGUGUUGGCCUCAGAGCCUGGCCCAUCCCAGAGGGAGAGGGUGCCAGGCCUUAUCAGAGAGGCCAAGGCUGGAUUGACCAGAUUUUUCCAGUGCUCACCCGCCCCCUGGUGGUCAUCAUGAGCAUUCCAGGCCUUAGCAAUCUUGAGAAAGAGAUGGCAGAAGAUAGCCUCGGGGCUAGCCUUCUUCUCUAGUGCCCUUCAUUGACUUGUUGGUUUCUGCUGUCAGUGAUCUUACCAUGCAGUGAUGUUCUACGAAUCAACCCCUCAUCUCCAUACCCUGUGACACGCCUCCCUCCCUGGACCCUGCCUGAGGCUCCCACUUACACCAGGCCUGGACUUGAGUUUUCCAGGGAGGACAACUUCUUUGGCCAAAGGUCUCCCAGGAAGACUUUGUCCACUUGUCGUUGGCCACAAAUUCAAGUUAUCCUGUGGGGUUCUUGAGUAGGUUCAAGAAAACUUUAGGGUCUGAACUACGAUCAUGAACCAGAGUGAUACAUAUGAAAUGAACUCAAAACUGCAGAGGAAACAAGAACCCCAG